This 92-nucleotide transfer RNA is filed under the name Vibrio diazotrophicus. Its description in RNAcentral is "tRNA-OTHER". Lineage: Bacteria; Pseudomonadati; Pseudomonadota; Gammaproteobacteria; Vibrionales; Vibrionaceae. The record is from RNAcentral.
AGUUGCUGUAAUGCUCAAUUGGCAGAGCAGCGGAUUCCGCCAACACCAAAAAUCAGCGUGUGUUGGGAGUUCGAAUCUCUCCACUCCUGCCA